Long non-coding RNA from Rhipicephalus sanguineus (brown dog tick), 742 nucleotides. RefSeq lists it as uncharacterized. NCBI's taxonomy places the organism in Eukaryota, Metazoa, Arthropoda, Arachnida, Ixodida, Ixodidae. The transcript is spliced from 3 exons. The record is from RefSeq and is a predicted model, not a curated record.
CCGCGCUUUGUUGACGUGCGUGGUCUAAUCGUGUUGUGUACGUGAGUGGCGUGUAACUAGUGAUACAGCACGCAAGUACAGUCAUUAACGUGCGCGAUCCGCCGCAAAUCAGCCACGAGACAUGGCAACGGGCACGUUCAGUGGGCUGCGCGGCCAUUGCGACGAGCUGCAUUGCCGAUUCUUCGCUUGAGACUGGCAAUUGUCGAGCGGGUUGCAUCCGUUGUUACGUUGCCCGAAGACAGUAGUAAAUGUGAUUUGCAGGGUGCAAGCAACGUGUCAUUGUGGUUAGAAAAAAUGAAUCAGUAUACAUGUGAUUUAACUGUCAAAGCCGGAAUGUUUAAAGGAUCGACUGUCCAGCGAGGAGAUUGCGGAAUCAGCAACUGACAUAUUGACUGAUGAAACAUGAUGGUGCGUGCAGCAAGAGAGGGUUUGACUGCAGAUCCUGACCACCUGCCCCUGUAAAUUUGUACCAACCACAGGCGCAAAGAAGAAACGCUUUGAAUACCUGCGGUCUUCUAUCAGCUAGACAAGUCCCUGAAGAUAUAAAUCAAUAAACUUUGAUGUAUUCUGCUUUGGAGGUAUAAAGCAAUAAAAUAUGAAUUCUUUUCGAAUGGUGCAUGUUUUUUUUUUCUUCAGAAAAUUUCUUGUGAGCACGCACAACCCGAGCAACAAAAGUAAAGGACUGACAAUCACCCUCUUUUUGGCUGCCCUCUGGGUUUCAGCUGUCCUGCAGUACCAGCAU